UCAUUCAAAAAAUCAGCACUUUGAAGAUCCAAAUGUUGUAUAGAUUGACACUUGGAUAACAAACAAAAGAUUCCAGCAUAACUAUAUCCUUGACAGGAUUGGAGGACAAGCUUUUUCAAAGGAAGACCUCUGGUUGCAAUAGAGGAAAACAAUUCAUCCGUGAUGCAUGUAAAUGACAAAUCAAGACAAGUUAAGUCCUUCAAACUCACGAGAGAGUCAAUAAAAUGUGAGCUAAUGUAAUCAUUGUUUGACAUACAAUUAAUUGAUAGAGACUUCAAAGUUGGUCUCUCACGGAUGGCAGAAGCAAUGCCGUGAUGAGUUAAUAGUGAGCAGUUCCACAUCGCAACAU
RNAcentral lists this long non-coding RNA (349 nucleotides) under Lathyrus oleraceus (garden pea). Its description in RNAcentral is "Pisum sativum (pea) long non-coding RNA (PSAT_LNC032470)". The record is from RNAcentral. Lineage: Eukaryota; Viridiplantae; Streptophyta; Magnoliopsida; Fabales; Fabaceae.